Molecule: long non-coding RNA, 1010 nt
Filed under: Manacus vitellinus (golden-collared manakin)
Lineage: Eukaryota; Metazoa; Chordata; Aves; Passeriformes; Pipridae
Description: lncRNA (ENSMVIG00005011647.1)
Source: RNAcentral
CCGCCCGCACGGCCGAGCCCGCCCCUCUUCGCCUCCCGUGACCGCUGUUUACCGGCACUGCUCGUCUGGGGAGGGGAAGGCUCGUUAUUCGCUCCCCGGUGGCUGUUGCCUCCUCGGCAAUUACCGUCACAGCGCCCCGGGGGACGGGGCAGUGCCGGGUACGGAGGCCCCUGCCGGGGUGGCCCCGCCCGCGGGGAGUCGGGGUGGCCCUGAGGUGCUCACAGGGCACCGAGGAGGAGAGAGAGGCUUGUUACCAGAGUCACAGAAUCACUUAAUUCCAGCCACCAUGUCAACUAAACCACAGGACUCAGUGCCACGUCCAGUCUUGCCUCCUGGGAUGGUCACUCUGCCACCUCCCUGGGCAGCCCAUUCCAGCGUCUAAUCACUCUUUCUGUGAAGAAAUUCUUCCUAGUGUCCAAUGUCCUCAUGUUACGCAGGUGCAUGUCCCCUUCCACAUAGAUCAGGGGCGCAGAGGGCAGAGAGGUUUCUGUCACCCCAGGGGUGGGGAGCACAUCCUCCUGCUCCGAUUCCAGCCUCAUGUACUGAAGCGCAGCACAGGCAGAGAUGGCAAAUUCAUGUGUGUGUGACUGCCCCACCCUGCCCCGAAACUCAGCAGGUGAGUCUGGUCAUGUGGCAGUUAUGUCAACUUCUAUUUUAAUUUUUUUUUUUAAUUUCUUAAGGCAGCCCAGUGGGGAGUUUCAUUAUGUGUGCAAGUGUCGCCCGUCUGUCUCCUUGCCCCAGACCCAGCAGCCUGGAAGACUGUGGCGAUUAAAGAACAGAAGAAAGCAUAACAGUGAAGGAGCAAGGACUUGAAAGGAAAAAAGAUUUCUGAUCACUUUUGUUUUAACAUGAGGAUAAUUCAAAUAUGUUGAAGAUCGAAUGAUUCCCGUUACACAUUCAAUACUUCUGAUUCAGCUAGAGGUGGCUGCUGUCAAUACAUGUCUGUCAAAACCCCAAAGAUCUUCCAAGAAGAUCAAUAAAAAUCCAAUUUUACAAUCUUGAUAUUUUCA